ACAGAAGCUUGCCGCCAACUGUUAACAGCGUAUAACACACGAAUUUUCAUUUCCUUUUCCUUCUCGCUGAUUUACCGGGAUCAAUAUUCCGCGUUUCUAUUCUCGGCUACAAUCAUUUCCGUGUUUCCUUGUAUACAAAUGUUGAACCUAGUCUACAAACAAACAUCAUUCAUCCUCAUCAGUUUUCGGAAACUUUUAUAUUUACCAAAGAAACAAGCAUCGGAGAAAUCUAUAUAAACAGGCCAUAACACCUCUCGACCCCAUACCUCUCUCUCUCACUCUCUGUUGAUAACACCAUCAUCGGAGCGUUCGAAACCUUUAUCCUACAACUUGAAGCCGCCGGAAAACCGUACGAGAUCACGUUCGCUAUCACUCGUAGAUUGUUCUUAUUGCCGGUGUCGAUUCCGCAACAUCACCGGACUUCGCCGGAUAACCCGAAGCCAACCGGAGUCACGACGGAACUCGGUUCCUUUGUUUUGAAGAUGAAGCUUUGAAUCGAAGAAGUCAUCGGACAAUCGCGACGAAACCCGUUCCUGAUAAUCGCUCUCGUUCGAUCUCAUGGAUUUCUCCAAUCUUUACUCGUGCGUUAUUACAAGAAAUCGCAACGCUAUCAAU
Helianthus annuus (common sunflower) is the source of this 615-nucleotide long non-coding RNA. RefSeq lists it as uncharacterized. NCBI's taxonomy places the organism in Eukaryota, Viridiplantae, Streptophyta, Magnoliopsida, Asterales, Asteraceae. The record is from RefSeq and is a predicted model, not a curated record. The transcript has 3 exons.